GUCUGCGGCCAUACCACCCUGAACGCGCCCGAUCUCCUCUGAUCUCGGAAGCUAAGCAGGGUCGGGCCUGGUUAGUACUUGGAUGGGAGACCAAUAGCACAAUUUAACUCAGGGCUCUACAAAGA
Ictidomys tridecemlineatus (thirteen-lined ground squirrel) is the source of this 125-nucleotide ribosomal RNA. The record is from Ensembl. Lineage: Eukaryota; Metazoa; Chordata; Mammalia; Rodentia; Sciuridae.